This 455-nucleotide ribosomal RNA is filed under the name uncultured eukaryote. RNAcentral describes it as "SSU rRNA". It matches the Rfam family "Eukaryotic small subunit ribosomal RNA", at positions 93 to 555 of the family's 1831-position model. The record is from RNAcentral.
AUGGCUCAUUAAAACAGUUAUAGUUUAUUUGGUAAUCGAAUUUACAUGGAUAACCGUGGUAAUUCUAGAGCUAAUACAUGCUGUAAAGCCCGACUUCACGGAAGGGCCGUAUUUAUUAGAUAACAGACCAAUAUUCCUCGUGUCUAUUGUGGUGAAUCAUAGUAACUAAUCGGAUCGCAUGGGCUAGUCCCGCGACAAACCAUUCAAGUUUCUGCCCCAUCAGCUUUCGAUGGUAGUGUAUUGGACUACCAUGGCUUUUACGGGUAACGGAGGAUUAGGGUUCGAUUCCGGAGAGGGAGCCUGAGAAACGGCUACCACAUCUAAGGAAGGCAGCAGGCGCGUAAAUUACCCAAUCCUAAUUCAGGGAGGUAGUGACAAGAAAUAACGGGUCGGGGCAAUGCCCCGGGACUGCAAUGAGAUGAAUUUACACCCCUUUUCGAGUAACAAUUGGAGGG